AGUGAACGCUGGCGGUAGGCCUAACACAUGCAAGUCGAACGGCAGCACAGUAAUAGCUUGCUCUUACGGUUGGCGAGUGGCGGACGGUUGAGGAAUACAUCGGAAUCUACUUUUUCGUGGGGGAUAACGUAGGGAAACUUACGCUAAUACCGCAUACGACCUACGGGUGAAAGCAGGGGAUCUUCGGACCUUGCGCGAUUGAAUGAGCCGAUGUCGGAUUAGCUAGUUGGCGGGGUAAAGGCCCACCAAGGCGACGAUCCGUAGCUGGUCUGAGAGGAUGAUCAGCCACACUGGAACUGAGACACGGUCCAGACUCCUACGGGAGGCAGCAGUGGGGAAUAUUGGACAAUGGGCGCAAGCCUGAUCCAGCCAUACCGCGUGGGUGAAGAAGGCCUUCGGGUUGUAAAGCCCUUUUGUUGGGAAAGAAAAGCAGCAGGUUAAUACCCCGCUGUUCUGACGGUACCCAAAGAAUAAGCACCGGCUAACUUCGUG
Molecule: ribosomal RNA, 492 nt
Filed under: uncultured bacterium
Lineage: Bacteria
Description: partial 16S ribosomal RNA
Rfam family: Bacterial small subunit ribosomal RNA
Source: RNAcentral